ACGAACUCUGGUAUUGAUUGGUGCUUGCAUCAUGAUUUACAUUUGAGUGAGUGGCGAACUGGUGAGUAACACGUGGGAAACCUGCCCAGAAGCGGGGGAUAACACCUGGAAACAGAUGCUAAUACCGCAUAACAACUUGGACCGCAUGGUCCGAGUUUGAAAGAUGGCUUCGGCUAUCACUUUUGGAUGGUCCCGCGGCGUAUUAGCUAGAUGGUGGGGUAACGGCUCACCAUGGCAAUGAUACGUAGCCGACCUGAGAGGGUAAUCGGCCACAUUGGGACUGAGACACGGCCCAAACUCCUACGGGAGGCAGCAGUAGGGAAUCUUCCACAAUGGACGAAAGUCUGAUGGAGCAACGCCGCGUGAGUGAAGAAGGGUUUCGGCUCGUAAAACUCUGUUGUUAAAGAAGAACAUAUCUGAGAGUAACUGUUCAGGUAUUGACGGUAUUUAACCAGAAAGCCACGGCUAACUACGUGCCAGCAGCCGCGGUAAUACGUAGGUGGCAAGCGUUGUCCGGAUUUAUUGGGCGUAAAGCGAGCGCAGGCGGUUUUUUAAGUCUGAUGUGAAAGCCUUCGGCUCAACCGAAGAAGUGCAUCGGAAACUGGGAAACUUGAGUGCAGAAGAGGACAGUGGAACUCCAUGUGUAGCGGUGAAAUGCGUAGAUAUAUGGAAGAACACCAGUGGCGAAGGCGGCUGUCUGGUCUGUAACUGACGCUGAGGCUCGAAAGUAUGGGUAGCAAACAGGAUUAGAUACCCUGGUAGUCCAUACCGUAAACGAUGAAUGCUAAGUGUUGGAGGGUUUCCGCCCUUCAGUGCUGCAGCUAACGCAUUAAGCAUUCCGCCUGGGGAGUACGGCCGCAAGGCUGAAACUCAAAGGAAUUGACGGGGGCCCGCACAAGCGGUGGAGCAUGUGGUUUAAUUCGAAGCUACGCGAAGAACCUUACCAGGUCUUGACAUACUAUGCAAAUCUAAGAGAUUAGACGUUCCCUUCGGGGACAUGGAUACAGGUGGUGCAUGGUUGUCGUCAGCUCGUGUCGUGAGAUGUUGGGUUAAGUCCCGCAACGAGCGCAACCCUUAUUAUCAGUUGCCAGCAUUAAGUUGGGCACUCUGGUGAGACUGCCGGUGACAAACCGGAGGAAGGUGGGGAUGACGUCAAAUCAUCAUGCCCCUUAUGACCUGGGCUACACACGUGCUACAAUGGAUGGUACAACGAGUUGCGAACUCGCGAGAGUAAGCUAAUCUCUUAAAGCCAUUCUCAGUUCGGAUUGUAGGCUGCAACUCGCCUACAUGAAGUCGGAAUCGCUAGUAAUCGCGGAUCAGCAUGCCGCGGUGAAUACGUUCCCGGGCCUUGUACACACCGCCCGUCACACCAUGAGAGUUUGUAACACCCAAAGUCGGUGGGGUAACCUUUUAGGAACCAGCCGCCUAA
This 1429-nucleotide ribosomal RNA is filed under the name Lactiplantibacillus plantarum. Its description in RNAcentral is "bacterial SSU rRNA". It matches the Rfam family "Bacterial small subunit ribosomal RNA". Lineage: Bacteria; Bacillati; Bacillota; Bacilli; Lactobacillales; Lactobacillaceae. The record is from RNAcentral.